GACAGAGGUCUCGAGCGUUAGGCGGAAUCACUGGGCUUAAAGCGUGUGUAGGCGGAUGUCUAAGUACCUUGUGAAAUCCCACGGCUUAACCGUGGAGUUGCUUGGUAUACUGGAUGUCUUGAGCCAGCUAGGGGCAACCGGAACAAAUGGUGGAGCGGUGAAAUGCGUAGAUAUCAUUUGGAACGCCAAUGGUGAAAACAGGUUGCUGGGGCUGUGCUGACGCUGAGACACGAAAGCCAGGGGAGCAAACGGG
Molecule: ribosomal RNA, 253 nt
Filed under: uncultured bacterium
Lineage: Bacteria
Description: partial 16S ribosomal RNA
Rfam family: Bacterial small subunit ribosomal RNA
Source: RNAcentral